UCUGUGAGGCAGACAGGUGUGUUAU
This 25-nucleotide non-coding RNA is filed under the name Mus musculus (house mouse). Lineage: Eukaryota; Metazoa; Chordata; Mammalia; Rodentia; Muridae. The record is from RNAcentral.